Molecule: long non-coding RNA, 1694 nt
Organism: Paramormyrops kingsleyae
Lineage: Eukaryota; Metazoa; Chordata; Actinopteri; Osteoglossiformes; Mormyridae
Source: RefSeq, a predicted model, not a curated record
CCUUACAGCCACUCAAAUAUGCCGGUAAACAAAGAUAUAGCAAAAAACACUGCCAUUGUGGGGCCUUGCAGAUAUCCAUCAGACUACAAGUUUGGGCUCAUUUCUUUCGACUUUGUGCUCUGAAAAGUGCGAGACCGUGUGGUAGUUGGGGGUGGGGGGGCGGUGGUGAGGGGAAGAAAAAAAAGUUCCCAAGUUGGUGCGUCUGCACACAAAGUUGAGCACAAAGAAGAGAGGAGCACUCCUUUGUUCACCGGGGAGCCUCGGGGUACAGCGGACGGACAGCAACCCCGCUCCUGUCCGGCAUCAUGCAAGCGUGCGGAGCGUCUGGAUGGUCAACUUCGUACGACGGAGGAAAAACAAGUUUCUUGGACUCAGCACACGUUGUUUGGAAAGCAUGGCUUUGGGAGUUUGGGAACUUCCUCACAAUUUUGGAAUUACAAAAUUGAAAAAGAAGAAAGAAUGAACUGUGGAUUAUUAUUUUUUUGGUAAAUAACUUUAUGGCACUCCCAUAAGACGGAUAAUUGAGGUCACCACACACCCAGUACGACAGGUGACCUGUGGCUGUCACCGGGAAAGAGGUCCGUGUCGUCCCUGCGAAGAGGCUUAUAUGUGAAGACCCGCUUUGUGGCAGCAAUUGCAAGCGUCAACCAUCUGGGUCACUUAGGGUGUGCAGGUGCCGACUUGCAUAAAUAAAGUCGUGUUAAUAUUAAUAAUAACCGAUAGACAUUGUUAGAAGAUCAAAGUCCUCCAGAUAUGAUAGUUCCACUUGGAAACUCCCCACAACGGUUGCCCUUGGAGAUAGGGGUCACAUUUCUACAUGUCCUGUCCCUUAAUGGUGGCCCCUGGGAACCCUCUUUUCAGCCAGGUGACGUAAUGCAUUUUUACAGACAUCCUGUGAUGCCUUUUGCCUUAUUCACGUACUGUGGCACCAACGGGCAAAGCUUGAACCACAAGCUGCUUGCCGUUUGGGUAUCUCUCAGACAUACGCUCGGAGAGGCCCCCUGUUGGAUACAAACAGUCCCUACACUAAAUAUGAAAAAGGCACAUUCCUUAUAUAGGGGACGCUGAAGGGACAUGUUCAGCUAGCUAUGAUCUUCUGGCUCUGCUACCUAAUGGCAGUGGGGGACUGAAAUGACUUUUUGGGUCAGGCCCUUGAAAAAACAAGCCCACCCCUGACUGCAGAUUACAGAUGUGGGCUGAGACCCACUAACAUCCAGACCCCCCCUGCCAUUUUUUCCCAGUGGGCUUUGAUAAAAAUUUUACUUUUAUGUUUGUGGCUCCAUUAAUUAUCUUUAUUGGCUUGGCUAUAGCAUAUCACACCAUGGGACAUAUGUUAAUCUCAUAUGCCUGACAGAUGACUGUUAAUUUGAUGACCGUAUGACACAAGGCACUGGUUUAAAGUCACGUGUGCCGUUAAUUUCCGUUUCCUGGAAGAGUAUCGGUAACUCACACAGCAGCCUGUUACACAGAUGCCUCAGGCAGUGACCUCUUUUUAUUUUUAAAUAUGAAACUAAUCGAAAAACGGUCACCCUGAUUAUUAUUAAUAUUUCAUGGGUCUGGAGCCAUUGAAAUUAUUUCCCUGUUUUUAGUAACCAAUUGGGACUGCAGUGAUCCUCAGAGAUACAUCCUGGAUGGGACAGAAGGGCACACACACGUGCGUGCGUGCACACACACACACACACACACACACACAC